Molecule: non-coding RNA, 28 nt
Filed under: Bombyx mori (domestic silkworm)
Lineage: Eukaryota; Metazoa; Arthropoda; Insecta; Lepidoptera; Bombycidae
Source: RNAcentral
UGAAAAGAACUUGAUCGGAUUGCAUGUG